RNAcentral lists this ribosomal RNA (468 nucleotides) under uncultured bacterium. RNAcentral's name for it is "partial 16S ribosomal RNA". It matches the Rfam family "Bacterial small subunit ribosomal RNA", at positions 28 to 507 of the family's 1533-position model. The record is from RNAcentral.
GACGAACGCUGGCGGCGUGCUUAACACAUGCAAGUCGAACGGAAAGGCCCUGCUUUUGUGGGGUGCUCGAGUGGCGAACGGGUGAGUAACACGUGAGUAACCUGCCCUUGACUUUGGGAUAACUUCAGGAAACUGGGGCUAAUACCGGAUAGGUGCUCCUGCUGCAUGGGGGGGGUUGGAAAGUUUCGGCGGUUGGGGAUGGACUCGCGGCUUAUCAGCUUGUUGGUGGGGUAGUGGCUUACCAAGGCUUUGACGGGUAGCCGGCCUGAGAGGGUGACCGGCCACAUUGGGACUGAGAUACGGCCCAGACUCCUACGGGAGGCAGCAGUGGGGAAUAUUGCACAAUGGGCGGAAGCCUGAUGCAGCAACGCCGCGUGCGGGAUGACGGCCUUCGGGUUGUAAACCGCUUUCGCCUGUGACGAAGCGUGAGUGACGGUAAUGGGUAAAGAAGCACCGGCUAACUACGUG